UCCGGUUUGGCACCGGCAGUCCCCCGCGAGUCCUCAGCAGCUUACGCCCUGUUAGCAACACGGGGCGGGGGUUGCGCUCGUUGCGGGACUUAACCCAACAUCUCACGACACGAGCUGACGACAGCCAUGCAGCACCUGUCUCCGGUCCAGCCGAACUGAAGGGAUCGAUCUCUCGUUCCCGCGACCGGGAUGUCAAGGGCUGGUAAGGUUCUGCGCGUUGCAUCGAAUUAAACCACAUGCUCCACCGCUUGUGCAGGCCCCCGUCAAUUUCUUUGAGUUUUAACCUUGCGGCCGUACUCCCCAGGCGGAUGACUUAAUGCGUUAGCUGCGCCACCGAAAGCCCAUGGCCCCCGACAGCUAGUCAUCAUCGUUUACGGCGUGGACUAC
RNAcentral lists this unclassified non-coding RNA (387 nucleotides) under uncultured Alphaproteobacteria bacterium. Its description in RNAcentral is "contains 16S-23S intergenic spacer region". Lineage: Bacteria; Pseudomonadati; Pseudomonadota; Alphaproteobacteria. The record is from RNAcentral.